UGGGGAAUUUUGGACAAUGGGCGAAAGCCUGAUCCAGCAAUGCCGCGUGUGUGAAGAAGGCCUUCGGGUUGUAAAGCACUUUUGUCCGGAAAGAAAUCCUUGGCUCUAAUACAGUCGGGGGAUGACGGUACCGGAAGAAUAAGCACCGGCUAACUACGUGCCAGCAGCCGCGGUAAUACGUAGGGUGCAAGCGUUAAUCGGAAUUACUGGGCGUAAAGCGUGCGCAGGCGGUUUGCUAAGACCGAUGUGAAAUCCCCGGGCUCAACCUGGGAACUGCAUUGGGUGACUGGCAGGCUAGAGUAUGGCAGAGGGGGGUUAGAAUUCCACGUGUAGCAGUGAAAUGCGUAGAGAUGUGGAGGAAUACCGAUGGCGAAGGCAGCCCCCUGGGCCAAUACUGACGCUCAUGCACGAAAAGCGUGGGGAGCAAAACAGGAUUAGAUACCCCUGGUAGUCCACGCCCUAAACGAUGUCAACUAGUUGUUGGGGAUUCAUUUCCUUAGUAACGUAGCUAACGCGUGAAGUUGACCGCCUGGGGAGUACGUCGCAAGAUUAAAACUCAAAUGAAUUGACGGGGUCAUAGCUGUUUCCU
RNAcentral lists this ribosomal RNA (589 nucleotides) under uncultured bacterium. Its description in RNAcentral is "partial 16S ribosomal RNA". It matches the Rfam family "Bacterial small subunit ribosomal RNA", at positions 355 to 1375 of the family's 1533-position model. The record is from RNAcentral.